RNAcentral lists this ribosomal RNA (379 nucleotides) under uncultured eukaryote. RNAcentral's name for it is "partial 18S ribosomal RNA". It matches the Rfam family "Eukaryotic small subunit ribosomal RNA", at positions 592 to 977 of the family's 1831-position model. The record is from RNAcentral.
CAAUAGCGUAUAUUAAAGUUGUUGCAGUUAAAAAGCUCGUAGUCGGAUUUCGGCCACAGCUGUGCGGUCCGCUGAGUGCGGCUACUGCACGGUUGGGUCUCUCAUCUGGUCUGUCCCAUGCUACUCUUCAGUGAGUGGCAUGGGUAGCCGGAACGUUUACUUUGAGAAAAUCAGCGUGCUCAAAGCAGGCUUACUGCUCGAAUAGUAGUGCAUGGAAUGAUAGAAUAGGACCUUCGGCCCUAUUUGUUGGUUUUUGGACCGAGGUAAUGGUUAAUAGAGACAGACGGGGGCAUUCGUACUGCGGUGUUAGAGGUGAAAUUCGAAGAUCGCCGCAAGACGAACCACAGCGAAAGCAUUUGCCAAGGAUGUUUUCAUUGAC